This 24-nucleotide non-coding RNA is filed under the name Mus musculus (house mouse). The record is from RNAcentral. Lineage: Eukaryota; Metazoa; Chordata; Mammalia; Rodentia; Muridae.
UAUAGUCAUCUAUAGUCCUAAUGC